RNAcentral lists this ribosomal RNA (453 nucleotides) under Bifidobacterium pseudocatenulatum. RNAcentral's name for it is "bacterial SSU rRNA". It matches the Rfam family "Bacterial small subunit ribosomal RNA", at positions 209 to 672 of the family's 1533-position model. The record is from RNAcentral. Lineage: Bacteria; Bacillati; Actinomycetota; Actinomycetes; Bifidobacteriales; Bifidobacteriaceae.
AUUCUAUCGGUAUGGGAUGGGGUCGCGUCCUAUCAGGUAGUCGGCGGGGUAACGGCCCACCGAGCCUACGACGGGUAGCCGGCCUGAGAGGGCGACCGGCCACAUUGGGACUGAGAUACGGCCCAGACUCCUACGGGAGGCAGCAGUGGGGAAUAUUGCACAAUGGGCGCAAGCCUGAUGCAGCGACGCCGCGUGCGGGAUGACGGCCUUCGGGUUGUAAACCGCUUUUGAUCGGGAGCAAGCCUUCGGGUGAGUGUACCUUUCGAAUAAGCACCGGCUAACUACGUGCCAGCAGCCGCGGUAAUACGUAGGGUGCAAGCGUUAUCCGGAAUUAUUGGGCGUAAAGGGCUCGUAGGCGGUUCGUCGCGUCCGGUGUGAAAGUCCAUCGCUUAACGGUGGAUCUGCGCCGGGUACGGGCGGGCUGGAGUGCGGUAGGGGAGACUGGAAUUCCCG